UCUCUAAUUCAUCUUUAUUUUUUCUAUUCUUACAUUGUAAGAUCCCAGGUUAUCUAGCAGGGAAGAUUAAGUACAAAGCAUGAAGCAGACAUGCUUCAACAAAAAGGACUGGGUGGGGGUGAGGCUUGACCAGCAGUGUGCAUGUGAAGAAUUUGGCCAAACAACUUUGUAGAUCUAGCAAUUCUAUUAGGGGCAGUUGAAUAAGCAAAGGUGGUUCAGAUUGUGUCUUUCGGCAGCGAGGCUGGUGGGAGGAGAAAGCCUAAAAUCAAGCAAUUUUUUUGGGUUUGUACAUUUACUAAAUUGCUUCAGAGUUUAUUACGAUAUGCUUUCAACUUUCAAUAAAAGUGCUUUUUGGGACUACAUGGGAAAAAAAUAUCAUCGAAAUAUAUUGAAGUGAGAUUUUGUUUA
Long non-coding RNA from Panicum virgatum (switchgrass), 408 nucleotides. RefSeq lists it as uncharacterized. Lineage: Eukaryota; Viridiplantae; Streptophyta; Magnoliopsida; Poales; Poaceae. The record is from RefSeq and is a predicted model, not a curated record. The transcript is spliced from 2 exons.